RNAcentral lists this long non-coding RNA (8894 nucleotides) under Cricetulus griseus (Chinese hamster). Its description in RNAcentral is "lncRNA (ENSCGRG00015042604.1)". Lineage: Eukaryota; Metazoa; Chordata; Mammalia; Rodentia; Cricetidae. The record is from RNAcentral.
CAUCUGCCAUGGUGGGUGGAUGAAAGACCCGAGCUAACAUGGGGUUAGCUCGUUAAAUUACAAUAAAGCCUCGUGCAGUUUGCAGCAAGCUCUCGAAUCCGCCUGGUGAUUGGGGUGACCGUGAAUGUGGCCUGGGACCCCGGAUACUUGAGUUUUCGGGGGGUCUAACAUUUGGGGGCUCGUCCUCGAUUUGCGACCACCCUUCACCUGAGUGGAUACGAUCUUGGAGUCUUUGCUGAAGGAAAUAACAUAGGUUUCUAGCAACUAUGAAUAAAGUCGCUAUGAACACAGUGAGGAAGCAUCCUUGAGUGUGGGAAGCCACAGCCCCAAGAUGGCGCCUGGCUGGAUGCCAGGGAGACUGAGCUUAGCUGUAAACAAGCCUUAUUUGGAAGCCUUAGUGGAUCUGAUGUGCCUCCUCCAGCUGUGACCUAUGCAGGAUCACCAGGUGCAUGAGCUAAUUGGGUAAUGAGCUUGCUUUUAAGGGGGGGAGGCUGGGAGAGGGAAGCUGAUGUACAAGAUUCCUAAAUAAACUACUUAAAAAAGAGUCAUGGUCGUGUUUCUCUUGCUGGUCGAGACAGACACGACACUUGUGGAAGGAUGGACAUUGCCUAGGGUAUAUGGACAGGGGUGGUUUGACUGGGUCUUGAGGUGUAUUGAUUUCCAAUUUCCUGAGAAACCACCAUAUUGAUUUCCAAUGUGAUUAUACAAGUUUGCACUCUUAUCACCAAUGGAAGAGUGCUCCCCUUGUUCCAUAUCCUUGCAAGCAUGAGCUGUCACCUGUGUUUUUGAUCUUAGCCAUUCUUAUAGGUAUAAAUAGAAUCUCAAAGUCAUUUUGAUUUUCAUUUCCCUAAUGGCUAAGGAUAUUGAACAUUUCUUUAUGUCUUUCUCAGCCAUUUUGGUUUCCUCUAUUGUGAAUUCUUUCUUUAAAUCUCUACCCCAUUUUAACUGGAUUAUUUAGUUGUUAAUGUCUACUUUCUUGAGUUAUUUAUAUAUUUUAGAUAUUAGCCCUCUCAGAUGUAGAGUUGUUACAAAUCUUUUCCCAUUCUCUGGACUGCUGUUCAGCCUCUGAAAAGUUCCUGCAAGGCAAAGGACACCAUUGAUAGAAAAAAAUGGCAUCCCAAACUGUAGAAGUGAAAAUCAUAUCCAUUAUUUUUCUCCCUCUGCUACAUUAAAGUUCAGUAAUCUUUUAAUGAUAAUGAGUCUAUAAUUUUCCAUAUUUGGUUUUUAACAAUACACACCAGUUAUUUGGAGAACCUGGUCUUUUAAUGAGUUGUGAAAAUCUUUAUUAAAAGCUUAAAUCUCUUGUGACCAUUAUUGAAAUUCUUUUAGUUCUUUUUUAAAUUUAAAUUAGAAAUAAUCUUGUUUAACAUGUCAAUCCCAUUUCCCUCUCACUCCCCUCUUCCCCUGCCCUCCACCUACCUCCUCUCCCAUCCCCUUUCUGCUCCUAGAAUAAACCAUCCUGAGUCAAGCAACCCAGUCACAAAAAGACAAACAUGGUACGUACUCACUCAUACAUGGAUUUUAGACAUAGAGUAAAGGAUUACCAGCCUACAAUCCACACCACCAGAGGAACUAGGGCACAAGGGAUACCCUAAAAGACACACACAUGGUCUCCAGGAGAAAGGGAAAGGGGCAAGAUAUCCUGAGCUACUUGGGAGCAUGGUGGGAGGGAUAGGGACUUAUGAGAAAGAGAAGGGGAGAAGAGGAGUAGGAGGAAGACAUGAGAAAGUGAGAAUGUGAGUCAUGAAAGAAUAAAGGAGAGAAAGACCAUAGAUACUAUACUAGAGGGUGCCAUUAUAGGUUUAAAGAUAAAUCUGGCACUAGGAAAAUGUCCAGAGAUCUACAAGGUUGACUCCAACUAACAAUCUAAGCCUAUAGUCAACAGGUUCUACCUUAAAUGCCCUUCUAUGAGAUUGAUGACUACCUUAUAUACCAUCGUAGAGCCUUCAUCCAGUAGCUGAUGGAAGCAGAAGCAGACUCCCACAGCUAAACACUGAGGUAAAAAGCUCAAAUCUUUUCAUUAGUGAUAAAAAUUAUUUGUUGCUAUUUUCAAGAAAUUGUAUGAGUUCAUUCAUUUUGAGGAAAUGUCUGAUUUUCACCCACACAUUUUUAAGUGAAAAUAUUUUAUAACACAUGAUUUUUGAUGUAAAUAAAAAAAUAGUGCUUUUUGUCGAGGCAUCCAUGGUAAUUUAUCAAGCAGCAAGGGCAUCUUUUCCAUAAAUUCCCUUUCAACACAUCACAUAGAAUACAAAGGAGGCAUGAGAUCAGCUGUUGAUAUUUAAUAAACCAAUAGUCUUUUGUGUUAUAUCAAUGGCACUGCUUAAUAUAACUGGCUGUGCUUUCCCUGUGCUGUAGAGUGGUAAACAACACAAGGUCCUAGUAACCCAGGGUUUAUGUUGAUUCACUCUGAAAUACAAACAGUUUGAAUCACAGAUGCUAUUACAUCCUCAGCAUAAAUGUCAUCUCUUUGAAACAUGGACAAGAAUCCUUUGAUAUUAAACCUCUAAAUAUUUUAAAGAAAUCUUUGAGUUCCACAUAGCAUAGCAUGUGAUAUUGCAUGUAAAGACUCAAAUCUUCCUCCCCAUUUCAUUUGCAUCCAUUUAAACAAAGCUUGGUUAAAACUGACAAAAGCUCAAUAAAUCUUAUGCUUUCUCAGUUGGAUACACAAAAUUAUAUUACUGAAGAAACUAAAAUGAAGAAUAUAACUUGCUAUUCAAAUAAAAGUCACUACAAAUAUUGGUCUGUGCUUUUUAGAUAAAAGCUAACAAGUAGAUUUUAUUGGCUUUGUAGUAAGUAAAUCGUUUAAAGUUUCUUGUUUAUAGAAUAACCAAUGCAAGGAUGAAUAUUUAAUUGUCUAUGGAUAGACUAAUGCUCUUGCCCAUGGUAAAAAAAAAAUAGAGCCAUCUGGAUAGGGCUAUUGAUUACUUGCCUUUCUUAGAAGCUGGCAAAACAAUUCUGAUACUAUGAGAGCUAGUACUCAGAGAAGAGGCUUCUAGUUCAGUACCCGCUUGACAUCUCCUGUAUCUUCACAUGUGAUAUCUUCAGCAGUACAGACUUACCUUCUAGGUUCAGUGGUCAAAUAAAAACAAUGGCAUUAUUGUUUGGGGUUGUCUAAGCAACAACUUGAAGGGAUUAUUUGUAUUAUUUUACACUGAGAUUUGCUAGACAAAAUGUAGCACUUUGGAGGAGAAACAUCGCUUCACAGAGAGUAGCUUCCCUUAAACUGUAUAUGUAUAUAAUAUGUGGAUGCAUAGGUUUAUGGUAAGCAUACAAAAUAAUGCUACCUUGUGGCAUUUUCAAACAUCCUUAACAUUAUAUACUCCUCUUUUCUACCUUUCCCUAUGUGUUAUCCUCCCUCCAUUAGCCACUAGGUCCAGCCCAGCAACAUAUCCCCCAUUGUAGAAAAGUGGCACUUUUUACAGGUGGGUGUUAAUUGUGUGAUGAUUAAGCAUCUUCAAGCAUUGUUUCAAAUGCCCACCCAAAGUAAAAUUUCUAGUCUUCAUAACCCCACCAAAAUUACUUUGUAAGAGUUAAGUAGUGAAUUUCUGAAGAAGAAUUUAAUUUACUCUGCCUAUUCUAGUAUCUUCUCUGGUGAACUGAUGUUUGUGAGGAAAACAACUGAACAGUAGCCCCUUACUUAUGUAAUAUUGGUCCUUGAAAAGGGUGCUUUAGGCACUUUUGUAUUAAGUAUAUUACAAGUAAGUAUGUGACUUUUACUUUGAUAGAAUUUAUAAAAGAUCUGUAAUCCUCUAGGUGACUUGAAAAGGAUGUGCUGUUCAGAUAUAUGAUCACAUAAUAGCCUCACAGACAUUAGGAGGGCAAGGCUUUUAGUUGGCUAUCAUUCUGUGGAUUUUGAUGUCUGUCCUAAGUCAGGUAACAUCCAGAUUCAGUAGCAUCUUGAUGUUCUCCACUACAAAAUACCAUGUCUUGAGGCAUCUUAUUAUUUUUAAGCCAACAAAAUACAGCUAGUGUGCAUAUAUGACCAUUAAAUAUAAGUUGGGUCACUAUGCACAGUGUAUGUGGCAUUUGUGUGCAUUUUCAAAAUAGAAUGAUCACUAACUUCCUCUCUGAAAUUCAAUGUCUAUAAUUAGCUUUCAGUUUUCUUAGUAACUUUGAUAUUGUUUUCCCGUUUACAUGGAGAUUUGAGUUAAGCAGCUUGAGGCAACAGUGCCUAGGGAGGAAUGAUCACAUUCAGAUAACACCUUUACCAUAAGCUGUGCUAUCUGGGUAACUCACUGCUUUUCUGCUCUGACCUCCUCUAUGAAAUGAGGCUGCUGCCCUGGAUGUGCCUUUCCAAUUCCAUGACCUAAAUUUCAUUCCUAAAAUAAGUGGCUAUGGUACCUUGUAUAUUAAUGUUUAAAUACAUUCCAUUAGGGUUUAUUUAUGCUUCUCCUUCUUAUAAGUAAACACUAUUUCUCUAUGUUGGCAUGUUUAUUUACCCUCAUACAUGACUCAGGAUUUUGCUAGAUGAUGAUGAAUAUGAUAAGGAUGAGAAGACUAAUUUGGUCCAAAGAUGCUGUCUCAUCUCCAGAAAGAUCAAGGUUUACAUAUAUAAAUAUGAUCAUACAUACAUACAUACAUACAUACAUACAUACAUACAUGUUUGUAUUUGUAAGACAAACAAAACACAACAGUGCUUUCCAUCUUCAUUAGAAAUUUAAACUUAUAAAUAUUUGCCUCUGCUUUUCUCCAUUCAUGAUAAUUACCUGUUUCUAAAUAAUGGCAUGCGGUAUAUAUAUUGAACACUAUCAAUAUUCUACUAUGCCAUUGUGGAUUACUGUGAUGAGAUUUUGAAUAUACAUGUGCUUCCCAGAGACAUGAUUGAAGACAAGAACUUCUUUUAGUGCACAAGAUGAAUAAUAAAUGUAUCUUUCUUAUUAAAGAAUUUUAAUUAUACUCGUGAGUGUAUGUGUAUGCAAGUGUGUAUGGGGCGGCAGUUUAUGUUAAUGCUGUGGCACCAGUGGGCAGGUUAGAAGACAACUUAGAGAGUAGAUUCUCUCCUUCUACCAUGUUGGUUCAGGAAUUGGGGUCAGGACAUCAGAUUUGGUGAAAAUUGACUUUAUUUGCUAAACCAUCUCACUAGCACAGUGUUUUAGCUAAUAGAUGUCUGGCAUAGGGAAUGCCUAUGGAUAUUGAUAUUCAGAGUUUAAGGUGUGAGAAGGAAACAUAUUUUAGUCUAGUACUAGAUGUUUCUGCAUUAAUUUCUUAGUGUUGUUGUAACAAAUUAGCACAAGUAGAUGAUUGUGUUCAGCAGAAUUCUUUUCUCAAUAUUCUAGAGACUUCAAAAUGUCAGUGCUGAACUCUUUCCAUGAUUCUAUAGGGUAAUACUUCCAUGUCUCAUCCAGCUCUACUGGCAUCAGGAGUCCAUGCUCAUCACUCCAAUCAGGUCUUCAUCUUCUGUGGCCUUGCUGUGCCAUUUCCUCCAACCUCAAGCCUAUCUGUGCCAUUAUAAAAUAAUGAGCAUUAAGUGGUUGUCAUUAGAAUUAGUGAUUGAUAGUUGAGAAUGAUAUCUUCUUGUGGCUUCUAAUUAUGUUUGCAAACACUGCCACAGAUAAUAGAAAUUAAGCCACAACUUUUAAGGUUUGAGCAAGGUUGAUAUUUAUUUUUGUAUAGCUACCAUUCAAGGCAUUAAAUGAUAUACAAAUGUGCUCUAUAAAACUGCUAGUUUAUCACUCUAUAUGCCACCUAUGUCUAAUGAGAGGGAGAGACAUUUCCAGAGAUAAAGGCCUAUUAUAUACACCAUUGUAUCCCCAAGGCUAAGCCCAUUUUCUGCAAGACAAAUACAACACAAUCUACUUAAUAAGUUGUUUUGAUACCUUCAACCUGAAAGCUGUAUCAUUAUUUAUGUUUUUCAAAGAUUUUUAAUGCCAAUUGGCUCCGCUCUCUCAUUCUUACUCAUACAGUUGAAGGAUGAAGUGUAAGGAUCUUGCUGUGGAAUGUGCCACAUUAAAGAGUUAAGGUUUAGUUCUAUUUCUUAGAGAAUUUGAGAAAUGUGCAUGGCGAUCUCUGAUCUACCUUUAUUGAAGGGCUUAUCCCUUGUAACUCUCUUUAUAUUUUAUAAACACACAAUAGUGUUGUGAAAGGAAUCCUUUUGUCUCUCUUCUCUGAUGUAGUAGGGAUCCCGAAAUUCAAAUUAUAUUUAACAAGUUGUUUUUGUAAACACAUCUAGACAGUGUUGCAUACAACUUGCACAUUCUCCAAUCUCUAACACUAGAUCUUUCUUAUUGCAAUUUCCAAUUCAUUUUUCAACACUGUGGAAGCUGAUAAUAGAGCAAAUAUCCUCAAAAUGUUUCCAUACACAUAAAAAGUUCAAAAUUGAAGUUGUUACCAUUAUUUGUAAUAGAUAGAACCUGGAAGCAAACUAGAUGCCCCUCAACUGAAGAAUGGAUAGAGAUAAUGUGGUACAUUUACACAAUUGAGUACUACUCAGCUGGGGGAAAAAACAAUGGAAUCUUGAAAUUCAAAGGCAAAUGGAUGGAACUAGAAGAAACCAUUCUGAAUGAGAUAACCCAGUCACAAAAAGACAAACAGGCCUUCACACAGCAGCUGGUGAAAGUGGAAGCAGACACCCACAGCUAAACACUGAACUGAACUGGAAUCCAGUUUCAGAUGAAGAGGAGUGAUGAUCAAAGUGGUCAACACCAAGCUGAUGAAACCCACAGAAACAGCUGACCUGAACAAGGGGGAACUCUUGGUUCCCAGACUGAUAGCUGGAAAACCAGCAUGGGACUGAUCCUGACCCAAUGAACGUGGGUGUCAGUGAGGAGACCUGGGAAAUGUAUGGGGCCUUUUGUAGUAGAUCAUUACUUAUCCCUCGAAUAGGAAUGGACUUUGGGAGCCUAUACCACAUAGAGGGAUACUCCCUGAUCUAGACACAAGGGUGUGGGCUUAGGCUCUAUCCCAAAGGAUAUGACAGACUCUGAAGACCCACUGUGGAAAGCAUCACCUUCCUGGGCAGCAGAAAUGGUAUGGGAUAGGUAGGAGGUUAGUGGGGGAAGCAGGGGAGGAGGGGAGGCAGAGGGAACUGUGGUUGACAUGUAAAAUAAUCUUGAUUCUAAUUAAAAUAAAAAUGUAAAGAAAGAAAGAAAAAACACAAUUGGAGCUAUUAGGAAAUGUAGACAGAGCCACAAACAAAGGGAGUUUAUUACAUUUACUGGUUGACCUACAAGGAGUUGUGUUCUGAUGUAGGAAGGAAAAAAAUCUUUCACUUAUGGUGUAUGAAAUUGAGCAAAACAACAUUGCUUUAAACAGUAAUUGAGUUUUCUUAUGUAAGAAAAACAUUCCCUCUGAUUUAGCAGGUUAAUUGAAUUUGAUUCCUCCAUUUUUGCUUGUGUCUUUCCAUUUGUGCUGAAAUUUGACAGUUACCAGUUUUAUGCUGAGAGAGAUACAAUCACUAGGAUGUAUUUCAAAAACCUUUGAAUUCUCUGUCAUUAAAAGUAAACAUGUAUAUGCUUUCUACCAUUCUUCUUUCCCCCUCCACCCCACUCACAUGGAUUGUUGAAUCCUAGCCUAAGCUGUGGAUGAUGUUGAUCCCACCUGUGAAUUGCUCAGUAUUCCAUUAGCCAGCAGUUUCUGAGGACUUUUUAGAAAUACAAAUUCAUUAGCUCCAUCCACACUUAUUGAACUGGAAACUAUAGGUAAUAUCAGACCAUCAGUUCUACAAAGCCCUUCUGGGCACUUUAAUGUAGGCUUGAAUGUGACGGCCACUGGGAGAUUGCCUUCCACAAUCCUCAAGUUGAAUGGUCCUAUUCUCUCACAGAAUUUCUUUCUUUCUUUUGUUUUUGGAAGCAGACUUUUUUAAAAUUUAAAUCAGAAACAAGCUUGUUACCAAUGUCAAUCCCAAAUUCCUCUCCCUCCCCUCCUUUCCUGCCUCUCCACCCACCCCACAUCCCAUCCCCUCUCAGCUCACCAGGGAGGAUGAGGCCUUCCAUGGGUGACUUUCAAAGUCUGUCAUAUCAUUUGGAGCAAUGCCUAGACCCUCCACCAUAUGACUAGGAUGAGAGAGUAUCCAUCUAUGUGGAAUGGACUCCCAAACUCCACUCAUACACCAGGACCAAACACUGAUCCACUACUUCCCCUUCUCCUGCUCCCCCCCCCACCUUCUUCCACCGUACCCCCAUCAACUUCUCAGAGAGAGUAAGGUUUCCCAUGCAGAGUUAACAAAGUCUUCCAUAUCACUGUGAGGCAGGACAAAGGCCCUCCCCCUAUAUCUAGGCUGAGAAAGGAAUCCUUCCAAAGAGAAUGGGCUCAUUUAUCUUUGGAUCAAUCCUGGUCUCACUGCCAGUAGCCCCACAGACUGCCCCAGCCAUACAACUCUCACUUGACUAGGGAAGACCAGCUCCAAGGACCCACAACCAGGUGGCUCUCUAUGGUCCAAUCAGAAGCAAGAGAGAGUGAGCUAUCAUCAAGGACCCCAGACCUAGCCUUCCCAGUCACAUCUGCACCUAUGACCAUGCCUAAAUGGGCAUGGUCAGUGCACCAGGUGUGGGCAAGGGGGAUCUCUCACUACAAUCCCCCUUUUAGUGUAAAGAAAAAAAUUAGACUUAGUAAAAAGCUAUAUACAAAGAUAGCAAAUAUCAAGUUAUACAGUAGGAGAAGGAAAAGUAAGAAUAUACACCCUUAAAACCUAUUGCCAUUGAAGCAACAAGUGUAAAAUGGGAAGAGCUACAGUCAUCCACAUUCAGGGGGCCUAUUUUGGUCCUAUGCAGGUUCCCCUGCUCUCAGUCCAUAAUCAGUGAGUUCCAACUCGCUCAGGUCAGCUGUUUCUAUGGGUAUCCCCAAAAUAGUCUUGACCCCUUUGCUCAUAAUAUUGCUCCUACCACUAUUUGGACUCUGGGAGCUCAUCCCAGGGCUUCCAUGGCUCUGUCUUUUAUUUUAUUUUUAAAUUUUUUUUA